Molecule: ribosomal RNA, 440 nt
Filed under: uncultured bacterium
Lineage: Bacteria
Description: partial 16S ribosomal RNA
Rfam family: Bacterial small subunit ribosomal RNA
Source: RNAcentral
CCUACGGGAGGCUGCAGUGGGGGAUAUUGCACAAUGGGGGGAACCCUGAUGCAGCGACGCCGCGUGGGUGAAGAAGCGCCUCGGCGCGUAAAGCCCUGUCAGCAGGGAAGAAAAUGACGGUACCUGAAGAAGAAGCCCCGGCUAACUACGUGCCAGCAGCCGCGGUAAUACGUAGGGGGCAAGCGUUAUCCGGAUUUACUGGGUGGAAAGGGGGCGCAGACGGCGAUGCAAGCCAGGAGUGAAAGCCCGGGGCCCAACCCCGGGACUGCUCUUGGAACUGCGUGGCUGGAGUGCAGGAGGGGCAGGCGGAAUUCCUGGUGUAGCGGGGAAAUGCGUAGAGAUCAGGAGGAACACCGGUGGCGAAGGCGGCCUGCUGGACUGCAACUGACGUUGAGGCCCGAAAGCGUGGGGAGCAAACAGGAUUAGAUACCCCUGUAGUC